UCCGGGCGGACGCCGAGUCCUGCCGCUGCCCGGAUGACCGGUCGACAGGAGUGGAUCGGCAGGAGUGGAGGACCCAAGCACGACGGGUCGCCGGAACGGUCGUCUCCGCAUGAGAGGCGCCGGGCCGAGCAGCCCUUGGGGUGAAGCCGCAGCAGCGGCCGGGCAACUUCGCCAGCCCGAAUCCGACAGGUCAUCCUUCACAGGCGGCUGACGAAGGGUUG
RNAcentral lists this small RNA (221 nucleotides) under Streptomyces sp. RNAcentral describes it as "c-di-AMP sequence". It matches the Rfam family "c-di-AMP riboswitch aptamer (ydaO/yuaA leader)". From Rfam's summary of the family: This family represents a conserved RNA structure found upstream of the ydaO and yuaA genes in Bacillus subtilis and related genes in other bacteria. The record is from RNAcentral. Lineage: Bacteria; Bacillati; Actinomycetota; Actinomycetes; Kitasatosporales; Streptomycetaceae.